Molecule: ribosomal RNA, 396 nt
Filed under: uncultured bacterium
Lineage: Bacteria
Description: partial 16S ribosomal RNA
Rfam family: Bacterial small subunit ribosomal RNA
Source: RNAcentral
AUACGUAGGGGGCGAGCGUUGUCCGGAAUGAUUGGGCGUCAAGGGCGCGUAGGCGGCCCGGUAAGUCUGGAGUGAAAGUCCUGUUUUUAAGAUGGGAAUUGCUUUGGAUACUGUCGGGCUUGAGUGCAGGAGAGGUAAGUGGAAUUCCCAGUGUAGCGGUGAAAUGCGUAGGGAGUGGGGGGAACACCGGUGGCGAAGGUGAAUUACUGGACUGUAACUGACGCUGAGGGGCGAAAGUGUUGGGAGCAAACAGGAUUAGAUACCCUGGUAGUCCACACUGUAAACGAUGAAUGCUAGGUGUAGGGGGUAUCGACCCCUUCUGUGCCGCAGUCAACACAAUAAGCAUUCCGCCUGGGGAGUACGGCCGCAAGGUUGAAACUCAAAUGAAUUGACGGG